This 2923-nucleotide ribosomal RNA is filed under the name Cronobacter sakazakii. RNAcentral's name for it is "bacterial LSU rRNA". It matches the Rfam family "Bacterial large subunit ribosomal RNA". Lineage: Bacteria; Pseudomonadati; Pseudomonadota; Gammaproteobacteria; Enterobacterales; Enterobacteriaceae. The record is from RNAcentral.
GGGUUGUGAGGUUAAGCGAACAAGCGUACACGGUGGAUGCCCUGGCAGUCAGAGGCGAUGAAGGACGUGCUAAUCUGCGAAAAGCGCCGGUAAGGUGAUAUGAACCGUUAUAACCGGCGAUGUCCGAAUGGGGAAACCCGGUGCACUUCGGUGCAUCAUCGUUAGCUGAAUACAUAGGCUAACGAGGCGAACCGGGGGAACUGAAACAUCUAAGUACCCCGAGGAAAAGAAAUCAACCGAGAUUCCCCCAGUAGCGGCGAGCGAACGGGGAACAGCCCAGAGCCUGAAUCAGCUUGUGUGUCAGUGGAACGGUCUGGAAAGGCCGGCGAUACAGGGUGACAGCCCCGUACACGAAGGCACACAGGCUGUGAGCUCGAUGAGUAGGGCGGGACACGUGAUAUCCUGUCUGAAGAUGGGGGGACCAUCCUCCAAGGCUAAAUACUCCUGACUGACCGAUAGUGAACCAGUACCGUGAGGGAAAGGCGAAAAGAACCCCGGCGAGGGGAGUGAAACAGAACCUGAAACCGUGUACGUACAAGCAGUGGGAGCCUUCGUAAGAGGGUGACUGCGUACCUUUUGUAUAAUGGGUCAGCGACUUAUAUUCUGUAGCAAGGUUAACCGUAUAGGGGAGCCGAAGGGAAACCGAGUCUUAACCGGGCGUUAAGUUGCAGGGUAUAGACCCGAAACCCGGUGAUCUAGCCAUGGGCAGGUUGAAGGUUGGGUAACACUAACUGGAGGACCGAACCGACUAAUGUUGAAAAAUUAGCGGAUGACCUGUGGCUGGGGGUGAAAGGCCAAUCAAACCGGGAGAUAGCUGGUUCUCCCCGAAAGCUAUUUAGGUAGCGCCUCGUGAACUCAUCUCCGGGGGUAGAGCACUGUUUCGGCUAGGGGGCCAUCCCGGCUUACCAACCCGAUGCAAACUGCGAAUACCGGAGAAUGUUAUCACGGGAGACACACGGCGGGUGCUAACGUCCGUCGUGAAGAGGGAAACAACCCAGACCGCCAGCUAAGGUCCCAAAGUCAUGGUUAAGUGGGAAACGAUGUGGGAAGGCCCAGACAGCCAGGAUGUUGGCUUAGAAGCAGCCAUCAUUUAAAGAAAGCGUAAUAGCUCACUGGUCGAGUCGGCCUGCGCGGAAGAUGUAACGGGGCUAAACCAUGCACCGAAGCUGCGGCAGCGACGCUUAUGCGUUGUUGGGUAGGGGAGCGUUCUGUAAGCCUGCGAAGGUGUGCUGUGAGGCAUGCUGGAGGUAUCAGAAGUGCGAAUGCUGACAUAAGUAACGAUAAAGCGGGUGAAAAGCCCGCUCGCCGGAAGACCAAGGGUUCCUGUCCAACGUUAAUCGGGGCAGGGUGAGUCGACCCCUAAGGCGAGGCCGAAAGGCGUAGUCGAUGGGAAACAGGUUAAUAUUCCUGUACUUGGUGUUACUGCGAAGGGGGGACGGAGAAGGCUAUGUCGGCCGGGCGACGGUUGUCCCGGUUUAAGCGUGUAGGCUGACUUUCCAGGCAAAUCCGGAAAGUUAAGGCUGAGGCGUGAUGACGAGGCACCACGGUGCUGAAGUGACAAAUGCCCUGCUUCCAGGAAAAGCCUCUAAGCAUCAGGUAACAUCAAAUCGUACCCCAAACCGACACAGGUGGUCAGGUAGAGAAUACCAAGGCGCUUGAGAGAACUCGGGUGAAGGAACUAGGCAAAAUGGUGCCGUAACUUCGGGAGAAGGCACGCUGACAUGUAGGUGAAGCCCCUGCGGGUGGAGCUGAAGUCAGUCGAAGAUACCAGCUGGCUGCAACUGUUUAUUAAAAACACAGCACUGUGCAAACACGAAAGUGGACGUAUACGGUGUGACGCCUGCCCGGUGCCGGAAGGUUAAUUGAUGGGGUUAUCGCAAGAGAAGCUCCUGAUCGAAGCCCCGGUAAACGGCGGCCGUAACUAUAACGGUCCUAAGGUAGCGAAAUUCCUUGUCGGGUAAGUUCCGACCUGCACGAAUGGCGUAAUGAUGGCCAGGCUGUCUCCACCCGAGACUCAGUGAAAUUGAACUCGCUGUGAAGAUGCAGUGUACCCGCGGCAAGACGGAAAGACCCCGUGAACCUUUACUACAGCUUGACACUGAACAUUGAGCCUUGAUGUGUAGGAUAGGUGGGAGGCUUUGAAGCGUGGACGCCAGUCUGCGUGGAGCCGACCUUGAAAUACCACCCUUUAAUGUUUGAUGUUCUAACCUGGCGCCGUGAUCCGGCGUGGGGACAGUGUCUGGUGGGUAGUUUGACUGGGGCGGUCUCCUCCCAAAGUGUAACGGAGGAGCACGAAGGUCAGCUAAUCCUGGUCGGACAUCAGGAGGUUAGUGCAAUGGCAUAAGCUGGCUUGACUGCGAGAGUGACGGCUCGAGCAGGUGCGAAAGCAGGUCAUAGUGAUCCGGUGGUUCUGUAUGGAAGGGCCAUCGCUCAACGGAUAAAAGGUACUCCGGGGAUAACAGGCUGAUACCGCCCAAGAGUUCAUAUCGACGGCGGUGUUUGGCACCUCGAUGUCGGCUCAUCACAUCCUGGGGCUGAAGUAGGUCCCAAGGGUAUGGCUGUUCGCCAUUUAAAGUGGUACGCGAGCUGGGUUUAGAACGUCGUGAGACAGUUCGGUCCCUAUCUGCCGUGGGCGCUGGAGAAUUGAGGGGGGCUGCUCCCAGUACGAGAGGACCGGAGUGGACGCAUCACUGGUGUUCGGGUUGUCAUGCCAAUGGCACUGCCCGGUAGCUAAAUGCGGAAGAGAUAAGUGCUGAAAGCAUCUAAGCACGAAACUUGCCCCGAGAUGAGUUCUCCCUGAGACUAUAAGUCUCCUGAAGGAACGUUGAAGACGACGACGUUGAUAGGCCGGGUGUGUAAGCGCAGCGAUGCGUUGAGCUAACCGGUACUAAUGAACCGUGAGGCUUAACCUUACAACGCCAAA